CGAGUCGGCGCUCCGCCGGGUGCCACUCCCCGGCGCANGACGAGCCGACUCNGGAAGAGAGAAGAAGAAGAAGACGUGUAGCGUCGACCUCAGAUCAGA
This 99-nucleotide ribosomal RNA is filed under the name Raveniella arenacea. RNAcentral's name for it is "partial 28S ribosomal RNA". Lineage: Eukaryota; Metazoa; Arthropoda; Arachnida; Araneae; Micropholcommatidae. The record is from RNAcentral.